RNAcentral lists this ribosomal RNA (450 nucleotides) under uncultured bacterium. RNAcentral's name for it is "partial 16S ribosomal RNA". It matches the Rfam family "Bacterial small subunit ribosomal RNA", at positions 338 to 795 of the family's 1533-position model. The record is from RNAcentral.
CCUACGGGGGGCAGCAGUGGGGAAUCUUGCGCAAUGGGCGAAAGCCUGACGCAGCGACGCCGCGUGAGCGAUGAAGGCCUUCGGGUUGUAAAGCUCUGUGGGGAGAGAAGAAUAAGGGUUGGCUAACAUCCAACCUGAUGACGGUAUCUCCUUAGCAAGCACCGGCUAACUCUGUGCCAGCAGCCGCGGUAAGACAGAGGGUGCAAACGUUGUUGUGAAGCGCUGGGAGGGGAGCUGGUGUGUGCGGUGUGAAAUCCCACGGCUCAACCAUGGAAGUGCAUUCGAAACUGCCAGACUAGAGUCCUGGAGAGGAAGGCGGAAUACUCGGUGUAGAGGUGAAAUUCGUAGAUAUCGAGUGGAACACCGGUGGCGAAGGCGGCCUUCUGGACAGUGACUGACGCUGAAACGCGAAAGCGUGGGGAGCAAACAGGAUUAGAUACCCGAGUAGUC